RNAcentral lists this ribosomal RNA (497 nucleotides) under uncultured bacterium. RNAcentral's name for it is "partial 16S ribosomal RNA". It matches the Rfam family "Bacterial small subunit ribosomal RNA", at positions 28 to 507 of the family's 1533-position model. The record is from RNAcentral.
GAUGAACGCUGGCGGCGUGCCUAAUACAUGCAAGUCGAGCGAACAGACGAGGAGCUUGCUCCUCUGAUGUUAGCGGCGGACGGGUGAGUAACACGUGGAUAACCUACCUAUAAGACUGGGAUAACUUCGGGAAACCGGAGCUAAUACCGGAUAACAUGUUGAAUCGCAUGGUUCAACAGUGAAAGACGGUCUUGCUGUCACUUAUAGAUGGAUCCGCGCCGCAUUAGCUAGUUGGUAAGGUAACGGCUUACCAAGGCAACGAUGCGUAGCCGACCUGAGAGGGUGAUCGGCCACACUGGAACUGAGACACGGUCCAGACUCCUACGGGAGGCAGCAGUAGGGAAUCUUCCGCAAUGGGCGAAAGCCUGACGGAGCAACGCCGCGUGAGUGAAGAAGGUCUUCGGAUCGUAAAACUCUGUUAUUAGGGAAGAACAAAUGUGUAAGUAACUAUGCACGUCUUGACGGUACCUAAUCAGAAAGCCACGGCUAACUACGUG